GAGCGAGAAAGUGGAGCAAUCCAUGAGUACAGCGGCGCACGGGUGAGUAACACGUGACUAACCUACCCUCGAGUGGGGAAUAACUUCGGGAAACCGAGGCUAAUACCGCAUAAUACCCACGGGUCAAAGGAGCAAUCCGCUUGAGGAGGGGGUCGCGGCCGAUUAGCUAGUUGGCGGGGUAACGGCCCACCAAGGCCAUGAUCGGUAGCCGGCCUGAGAGGGCGCACGGCCACACUGGAACUGAAACACGGUCCAGACUCCUACGGGAGGCAGCAGUGGGGAAUUUUGCGCAAUGGGGGAAACCCUGACGCAGCAACGCCGCGUGGAGGAUGAAGCCCCUUGGGGUGUAAACUCCUUUCGAUCGGGACGAUAAUGACGGUACCGGAUGAAGAAGCACCGGCUAACUCUGUG
This 411-nucleotide ribosomal RNA is filed under the name uncultured bacterium. Its description in RNAcentral is "bacterial SSU rRNA". It matches the Rfam family "Bacterial small subunit ribosomal RNA", at positions 64 to 507 of the family's 1533-position model. The record is from RNAcentral.